This 1305-nucleotide long non-coding RNA is filed under the name Anser brachyrhynchus (Pink-footed goose). RNAcentral describes it as "lncRNA (ENSABRG00000008980.1)". Lineage: Eukaryota; Metazoa; Chordata; Aves; Anseriformes; Anatidae. The record is from RNAcentral.
NNNNNNNNNCCCCACCACCGGCAUCCUCCCCGGGGCCGUAUCCUCGGAGGAACCGCGCUCCCUAAGCGGCUUUCGGGGGAUUACGGGCAGCCCCCUGGCCCUUGCCCUGUCCCCACCCAGCCUUCCUUCCCCGCUGCUUUAAGUAAUCGUCUCUGAGACAGUUUUACCCGGCUAAUCCGGCCACCUCCACCUAAGCUGCUCCAGCGCCCCUGCCUGCCCCCCGCCGGGGCGCAAACGCUCCCCUGCCCUGGGAAGCCCCCCCUGAAGGCAAGGAGGAGCCGGGGUCCAAAAAUAAAACUGGACGAAGGGAUGAGGGCAGGAAGCCUCGGGGGCGAGGGGACUGACGCUGGAGAGCGGCGCCGGAGGGGCUCCUGGAGGUGGCACGAGCGGCACAAGCAGCGCUGUCACCUCGUGCCACCCCACGCAGGGGGGUGAAGCCCCCCCCCCAAAGGGAUGGAGCAAAAAGGGGCCGAGAGCCCCAGGCAGGGCUGCGAGGACAAAGCGGGGCCGGGAGCCAGAGCGGGGCCACGUCCGCCUCCAGCCCCGGCCGCGUGCGUCACCUGCUGCCACGCCGUGGGGGUCACGGCUACUGCAGGGGCACCCCGGGGUGCUGCAUCCUCCUGGGGACGGGGUCGAGGCACGGGGGACGCCGAUUUCUCAAAGUCUGGAAUCAGAUUUAUUCGUCCGUGUACAAAAAUGCUGCCCCCUCCCCGACACACACCUCGAGGAGGGGAGGGCGUUAAAAGCCGCGUGGUGCCGCGCAGGGCACGGGCAGGCACCGGUGCUCCGGUUUCAAGUAGAGAGGGGGGAAAAAAAAAGGGGGGGACACCUGUGGUGUGUGGGGGGGGCACGGGCGGUGUCUUUGGCUUCACAGGGGAUUGAUGGAGCCCAGGAACGUCCCCACACCGGCUCCCGGGGGAGAGGGGACGCGGGAGGAAGGCAACGUGGCAGCGGGAGAGCAGGACCCCCCCGGGGCCCCCGUGCCGAGGACGGGGCUCCUGUAGUGCUUGGGGAGGGGGGAGCCGGGCCCCCGCGGGAGAGGCGCCGGCGCCCCCCCGCAGCAGCGAUGGUCAAGGGAAGUGGAGGGGGGGCACGGCCGGGAGCAGGAUGGAGCCCCCCCAAGCCCUCCACGAGGCACCACCGUGGUGCACGGUGCAGCCGGGAGGGCGCAGACACCAAAACCUAAGGCACGGGCGGCGCGAGGCAGCGGGGAGCCCUCACCCCGGGGUGGGGUGGGGGGGCUGGCGGCACAACCCCCGGCUCCCCCCCCAGCGCUGCAGCAGCAAAUCAACAAGUUAAGACUCC